GCCCGCGCCGCUCUGCGGCAGGCGAGGUGCGGCGCGCCAGAGCGCAGGACUUCCUGGGAGGCAGUCGAGGAGCCCUGGCUUUACAAAGAAAAGCAAAUGAAAGAUGCACUGCGAGAGGCGGGAGGAAGAAACCCUGAGUCUCCCGAGACUCAAAGUUCUCCUGCAGAAUAGAAGCCGGUAACCUACAAUCUAGCUGGCUGGCUACAUUGAUGGAGGGUCAGAGUGAAACUGGGAAACUAGUUUUCACUGGGGCUCUGUAACCUUGCGUUGUAUUAUAGAAUAUGACUGAGUUGAGAGAGUCGGAGGGAAGGGGAGUUGAUUUAAUGGACUCGGAUGGCCAUGGCAGUUUCUCUUCCAUUCUUCGGCCACACACACAGAAGCGCAAACUAUGUUUCAGGCGGAGUUUCGAUCUUGUCGCCCAGGCUGCAAUGCAAUGCUGCGAUCUCGGCUCACUGCAACCUCCGCCUCUCGGGUUCAAGCAAUUAUCCUGCCUCAGCCUCCUGAGUAGCUGGGACUACAGGCGCCCACCACCAUGCCCGGCUAAUUUUUGUAUUUUUAGUAGAGACGGGGUUUCACCAUAUUAGCCAGGCUGGUCUCGAACUCCUGACCUCAGAUGAUCUGCUCCCCUCGGCCUAGCUACAUCUUAUUAAUAAGCAUAAACUAAUUUUAUCUCAACAGUAAAGAUAUUUUCAAUAGGAAAAAAAGAAAAAAAAUGAUGUAUAUGAAGACUAAUAACGAGGGGGAAAGCAGGGAAAAAACGUAAGUAUAGUAUGAUUACCACUAAACAAAGAUAAAUGCAUAAUAAGGUAGGGGUUCAGGAGGGAAACCUGAAGGAAAUACCCCAAAAUACUGGCACUAGUGAUGUCAGGAUCAUGAAUUUACUGGUGUUUUUGCUUUGUUUUCCAGAGUUUCAGCUGUGUGAUUCUAUUACUCAAAUAAUGAAAUACACAUAUAUAUUUACA
RNAcentral lists this long non-coding RNA (962 nucleotides) under Homo sapiens (human). RNAcentral describes it as "HSALNT0372093". The record is from RNAcentral. Lineage: Eukaryota; Metazoa; Chordata; Mammalia; Primates; Hominidae.